CGGGUGAGUAAUGCAUAGGAAUCUACCCGAGUAGUGGGGGAUAACGUGGAGAAAUCCACGCUAAUACCGCAUAUGGCCCUACGGGGCAAAGCAGGGGACCUUCGGGCCUUGCGCUAUUGGAUGAGCCUAUGUCGGAUUAGCUUGUUGGUGGGGUAAAAGCCUACCAAGGCAACGAUCCGUAGCUGGUCUGAGAGGAUGAUCAGCCACACUGGGACUGAGACACGGCCCAG
RNAcentral lists this ribosomal RNA (230 nucleotides) under uncultured bacterium. RNAcentral's name for it is "partial 16S ribosomal RNA". It matches the Rfam family "Bacterial small subunit ribosomal RNA", at positions 103 to 334 of the family's 1533-position model. The record is from RNAcentral.